Molecule: ribosomal RNA, 583 nt
Filed under: uncultured archaeon
Lineage: Archaea
Description: bacterial SSU rRNA
Rfam family: Archaeal small subunit ribosomal RNA
Source: RNAcentral
AGGGUUCGGCUUAGGCAUGCGGGUGCGUGAGUCAUCUGGACUCGCCGAACUGCUCAGUAACACGUAGUUAACUUACUCUUAGCUAGAGGAUAAUCCUGGAAAACUGGGGCUAAUACUCUAUAGUUGUUAAUUGCUGGAAUGCUUUAACAGCCAAAGCUUCGGCGGCUAAGAAUAGGGCUGCGGCCUAUCAUGGCUGUUGUGAGUAUAAAAUACUCACAAACCUAUAACGGGUAGGGGCCAUGAGAGUGGGAGCCUCGAGAUGCAUUCUGAGACAUGAAUGCAGGUCCUACGGGACGCAGCAGUCGCGAAAACUUUCCAAUGCCUUAACGGGUGAGAAGGGAACCCUGAGUGAUUAUGCAUAGCAUAAUCUUUUGUUUUGUCUAAAGAGCAAGACGAAUAAGUGGUGGGUAAGACGGGUGGCAGCCGCCGCGGUAAUACCCGCGCCACAAGUGGUGACCGCGAUUAUUGGGUCUAAAGCGUCCGUAGCCGGUUCAGUGAGUUCUUGGUGAAAUCUACUAGCUAACUAGUAAGCUUGCUGAGAAUACUGCUAAACUUGGGAUUGGGAUAGGAUAGAGGUAUUCCA